This 440-nucleotide ribosomal RNA is filed under the name uncultured bacterium. RNAcentral's name for it is "partial 16S ribosomal RNA". It matches the Rfam family "Bacterial small subunit ribosomal RNA", at positions 338 to 795 of the family's 1533-position model. The record is from RNAcentral.
CCUACGGGCGGCAGCAGUGGGGAAUAUUGCACAAUGGGGGAAACCCUGAUGCAGCGACGCCGCGUGAGUGAAGAAGUAAUUCGUUAUGUAAAGCUCUAUCAGCAGGGAAGAAAAUGACUGUACCUGAGUAAGAAGCCCCGGCUAACUACGUGCCAGCAGCCGCGGUAAUACGUAGGGGGCAAGCGUUAUCCGGGAUUACUGGGUGGAAAGGGAGCGUAGACGGCAGUGCAAGUCUGGAGUGAAAGGCGGGGGCUCAACCCCCGGACUGCUCUGGAAACUGUACGGCUGGAGUGCAGGAGAGGUAAGUGGAAUUCCUGGUGUAGCGGUGAAAUGCGUAGAUAUUAGGAGGAACACCAGUGGCGAAGGCAGCUUACUGGACUGUAACUGACGUUGAGGCUCGAAAGCGUGGGGAGCGAACAGGAUUAGAUACCCGGGUAGUC